Molecule: long non-coding RNA, 14967 nt
Filed under: Trifolium pratense (red clover)
Lineage: Eukaryota; Viridiplantae; Streptophyta; Magnoliopsida; Fabales; Fabaceae
Description: long non-coding RNA (TPRA_LNC013299)
Source: RNAcentral
CUGCUAGACCACUAGAUUGUACUCCAUCAGCUAAGGCAAAUCCAGCUCCUAGAAGUAAAAUUAGGUUCCAUGGUAAUUUUUUGCAUUCAUUCCAAUUCAUUAGUUUUUCUCCAUUUUGCUUCAUAUUUGGGAUUAUGAACAAUAAAACAGCAGCCAAAACCUACAGUAAUUGCAUGGCAUUUUUUUACGAGAAAUGAUGUUUGGAGAUCAAAAUUUUGUUGUCGUAUAUGGUGUCAAGUGUUUUUUGUGUGUGAUUUUGAAAUGUGUGUAAAGAAUAGAAAGUAAAAAACUAAAUUGUAUUUUUGCCCCAUUAACUUUCGCAAACGUACGAUUUUAGCCUUCUAAUUUUUAUAUAAUAGCACUUUUGACUUCAUAACUUUAGUCUUUUUUGCAAAAUUUUGGUCCCCAUUGAUUUUGAUCAAGUCAACUCAUACGUGGAUAAUGAUUCACAUGUCACGUUAGCAAAUGUGACAGACAUAUUGACGUGACAUGUGAGACAUUGCCCACAUGUGCAAAACAUUUUGAUGUGGCAUGUGUGUCAUUAUCCAGGUGUGCUUUGACUUUGUCAAAAUCAGUGGGAUCCAACAUUUUGCAAAUGGGGCUAAAAUUAGAUGGCCAAAAAUGCUAUUAUAAAAGUUAGUGUCAAAAUUGAAUGUAUGUGAAAGUUAAAGCGGCAAAAGUUUAAUUUAGUCCACUAAAAAAUAUGAGAUAAAGACAAACACAUUCGUUAUUAUACAUUAUCAGUAUUAUUUAACUUCUUAGUUCAUAUAACCCUCGGUUUAAACCAAUUAAAUUCCCAAUUUUGAACUUUUAGACCAUCUCAAAUGGUGUAGUAUCUAUUAGAUACUCAUGGUACUUAUUAGGUACUACCAUUGAAGAAAUACUCAUUUGACUUGAGUACCUAAUAGGUACUAGUUCUACAAUAAGCAAUAAUACCUAUUUUGUUUUAGUGAGUCUCAUUUAUAAUGAUGUAUAGUUAUUGGUGAGAUGUGUUAUUGGUAGGACCUAUUUAGAACUUUUUAAUAGAUGUUGGGUUGGAAGGAUUGAGUACUUAUUAGGUACUAUUAUUAAAAAAAUAUAAAUGAAUGAUGUGUACACGUGAGACCCAUUUAGGUACUCAAAAAUGAAUAUCUCCAUUGUGGAUGCUAUGAUCCAUAUUUUUGAUUCCCUAAAGAAAAAAAUGAUCCAUAUUUUUCAUGACCAAAACACAUGGUAUUUUUUGUGAAGAUCAAUCAAAUUAUGACUUUAUUAUUGAUUUUUUUUAAUAGGGAUACUUACACUAAUGCUUCCAUCACCAACAAGGCCAUGGAACAAAACUCCCCAUCCAGGUAAGUCAUCCGAGAUUCUUCUUGUCAUCCAUAGUAUUAUCAACAACUGUAUUUUUAACCACAUUGCUUCGUUAAGUCCUUGGAAAACAAAAUAUAUUAAUUACCCCAUUUUUCCAAAAAAAAUAAAAUACUCCAUCAUCAUGAUUAUAUUAAUGAUAAAAAAUAAUCUAGCUAGAUAUACGGCAUACCCCAAACACACAUAACACCAUCUUUUCAGCAAAAGCCAUUGGACCUGCAAAAAUCCGUAACAAAGUUACAAAUGAACUUGUUUAGGAGCAUAAGUUAGAAUAUUUUUUUGUCAUUUUAUAUUAUAUAAAAUGGUUUAGAUGGGUUGGGUCUCGGAAACCACAGGUCUCAAGGCUCAAAGAGCAUUGACAGGUGUAUUUACGGAUCAUACCAAUUGUAAGCGGAAAUUAAAAGUACGUCCUUGCAAGAUAUGAGUCAACUCUUUAUCAACUGAAUCAAUUUUUAUUUAUCACUUCUACUUCAAAAGAUAAAUAUGGGUAAAUAUGUUUUAAAUUCUUAAAACAAUUACAAUCUUUUGAUUUAUUUUUUGUCAAGAUUAUGAUCUUUUGAUUUUAAUCUCUACAAAAAAAAAUUGUGGAAUUUUACUUCAUAUUUUGCUUUUAUGACUCAAGUACAUAUAUUUUUGCUGUACAAAUCAAAUAAAAUUUCGAAGUACAAUUAAACAUUUUUUUUCUUGGAUAUGUAUAUGGACUAUAAAUUUACAUAGUCAAUUAGUCAUCAUUUUAUAAGUACUAAAAAUAUAUCUUAAAAACUAUAUAAAAGAAAUUAUUGUGUAUUGAUCACUAUUUCUAUAGGAUGCCGUUGGGAACUAGCACCACAACAGUAGGUGAUCCAAAUUCAAGAAUGUGAGAUCUAUGAGGUCGUUUGUUAUAGCUUAUUUUAGAAAAAAAUUAUUUUUUUAUAAAAAUAAUCACUUUUAAUUGUUUUGCAACUGUUUGCUAUAAAUUUUUAAAAUAAUCAAAAGCUAAAAAUAAUCAGAAAAUAGCUAAAAAUGAGAAGCUAAUUGUCAUAUAUUGUCUCAAGUCUCAAUAAUCCCCUAGGUACAACUUGCUUAAUAAAUAAAAGUGAGAUUUUGCAAAGAUUGAGGAUUCAUAUUUAGCAAAUAAUGUUUAAUUUUAGAGACAUCUAUUCAACAUGAAAAACGUGAUAAAAAAAAUUAGAAAGUGAUCAAUCAAUAGUUACUAUUUGUAGAAAAUACAAAUAGGUCAAAAUCAUCUACUAAUACUAUAAUAUGUUAUGUCAUACACUCUUUGUGAAAAAUAAUUUCAUUGACCUUUAGCACUUGUCUAUUUUUAAUUCCUUAUUCAUCAUUGUCUCAUGUCAAUUGUAACGCUGUGUUUGUUUCAAUGAAAACUAGGUUAAACAAGAUAGGGGACAAAAUGUAAUAUUUUUAUCUAGCUAGUUGUGGUGGAGAGGAAAAAAAAUUGUUUUUCCAAUUAGAAGGGUGUAAUGAAGAAACACCUCUCUUCACUUUUUUUUUGCUCCACUUAAUAAAGUACAAUGAAAAGCGUAGCACUUCUGCAAUAUUCAAUGGUGCCGACGCUCAACAUUGAUGGAUGACAUCUCAUAACGACCACCCACCAAUGUCUCAACGGCUCCAUUGUCCCUCAUAUAUAAGGUGUUCUCAUCCAACACCUCAAGGCACAUAAUUCUUAUCCUAAAAACAUUUCAUUUCAUGUUUUACAUUAAUGUCAGAGUGUUUGCAGGUAACCCCGUUAAUUUUAACAUUGACAAUUCGUUACUCGACGCCGGACGCCGAUCACUUCUCUAUGUCAGCAACAUCAUAAAAAAUAUCGCCAAAUGCAUUGAUGAAGAUAAUAUGAGAUAUUUUAAAAAUUCAAGAACAAAAUAUUUAAAAAUGAUGUUUAAAAAUAAAAUAAAAUGAGUAAACCCAAAUGGUAGAAAACACAAAAUGGAGAACCAAAACUAUAUUAAAGACAUAAAUAAAAAUAUGUUUGAAGAGAGAAAUUUACCAAGAGCUUCAAGAUCCCUCUUCAAGUGUUCUCUAUCCAAAUAAUUAGACAAAUCCCUACUCAAGUGCUUUCUAACAUAAAGCAAACAAAGUAUACACCAAAAGCAUAGAAGCAACAAAACAGCCACAGGGAACCCAAAAAAAAACCAAGUGUUGAAACUUAUUGGCUUUGCUUUUGGUUCAAGAUUUUUCCACAUUCCAAUUAUUAUCAAGUUCACACCUGUUCCUGUUAUAGUGCUUAUCCCUCCAAUUUGUGUAGCAUACACCACUGUUAGAAUCACUGCUCNNNNNNNNNNNNNNNNNNNNNNNNNNNNNNNNNNNNNNNNNNUCUGAUUGCUCAUUUGCCGGCGGCAGCCGAUGUAGGAUUCCGGUUGCUACUGGCAUCAUCAUUACCGCUGCUAUCACAUUGUGUACCCACAUGCUCACGAAAAAUGUGGUUGCGCAUAGACCUAAUAGUAGCAUUGCUGGAUUCAAUGGAUCGCCACAAAACACCAAGGUUAUCUGUAUAUGCGUAUCAUGUUAGCAAGUCAUUUAUUGAUGAUCUAUUUUUGCAAAAUAUUCAGUGAAUUUGUCAAUAACUAAUAUCUAUCGAAAAAUUUGACCGAACACAUUUAGCAAGGUCUCAUCCACCCAUGUCAGAAAAGUCCAAGCUUCAAUCUUUAUUUUAUUUUUUAAACAGUUAAAAUUAAUAAUUAUUUGUUAAUUUUACUAUUCAGACUAAAACUCUAGUCUUUUUAACUAUUUAAUUUCUUUAACUUUUGACUCUCUUUAAUUAAUUUCUUUAACUUUUAACCCAAACUAUUUAAGAGCUUCAAAUAUGGGUCCGUUUGAUCUGCAAAAUAUAAAUACUGGACAGAACAGUACAGGACAGUACAAGACAGAACAGCACAAGACAAACGUUUAAGGUAUUGAACAAACUUUGUGUUGUACGAUGUUUGGUGGACAAAAGGUUAUUUUGAUAUUUUAGACAACUUGUGCUGAGGACAAAAAGUUGUCCCGUAGUUCUGUGGGGGACGAGAAUUUCAAGUUUUGUCCUGUCCCUUGGACCCCAGUUUGUCCAGUACCAGGAAUAGUUUUAAAAUCAAACACAGUAUAGCAGGAGUUGUCCUGUCCAGUCCCUUAUUUUUUAGCAGAUCAAACGCACCGUAUGUUUUACAACCAAUAAUUGAGCAUAUCCACAAAGAUCACAUGACAAACAUAAAGUAAAUCCUAUCAAUUAAUAUUAAAUCAAGGUUAAUUAAAACUUAGAAACAUAAACAACAAUUUUACAACUAAUAAUUGAGCAUAUCCACAAAGAUCACAUGACAAACAUAAAGUAAAUCCUAUCAAUUAAUAUUAAAUCAAGAUUAAUUAAAACUUAGAAACAUAAACAACAAAAAACAUAAACAACUGCAAAAUUAAUGUUUAAAAAAACAUAUAUUGUCUACAAUUUAGUUAUUUAAAUGGUUCAAUUGUAGUUUUGUCCAAAUUUAAGCUAUUUAUGCAUAAAAAAUAAUCUUUUUUUAGUAUUAAGUAUUAACCAUCUGGUUUUCGAGGAAGGGGCCCUCAGGUUCUCUCAAACAAUUCGCUCUAGAGAAAACUCAUUAACCAUCCGAACACAAUGUCUUGAUUAAAAAAAAUUCAAAGCGGUUACUUGGAGGAAUCAUCCGGUUUAAUUAAUAUCCAUUUCGAUGUUAAAAUUAUAGUACAAAAUUUAAACUUUGGAAUAAUGUACUCACAUUCAAAGCCAAUCUUUUGUGCACGUUGUAGCGUUCUACAGCAAGAGCAAGUAUGAAACUUCCCAAAACAAGUGCAAUAACAUCAUCCAUAUAAGAAUGAGCAACAGUAUCAGCUGAAGCAAUUCCAAACAGAGGAAACAAAAAUAGAGGACACAUAGAAGUAACAGGAAGUGGAACAGCCUCAGUGAUCCACCAUGUGAAAACCCAAACAAUCACACCAACCAUUUUUGUGCUUGUUGUAGGAGCAUCUAGUUUCACUAGGAGACAUAUAAUAAUUGAUAACAAAGGUCCUAAAAUGACAUAAAAGUUUUUAAGGUUUAAAAUUGAUGAUGUUAUUGUAAAGGAAUUGAUGUUGGGUGUUUGUUGGAUCGGUUCGUCGUGAAGGGGUAGAAGUGGUGCCUCAAGAAUGGGUGAUGGAGUGUCUUCUCCGGCCAUGUUGGAAAAAUGAGAGCAGAAAUGGUGGCUAUGAUUGGAAAGGACAUGUUUGGGAGAUAUAAAUAAAAGUGUGGGGAUUUUAUUCAUGAAUAUUUUAUCAUGGGAUACGAAAGUAGCCAAGAUAUUUUCAUCAAUAAAAUUAAAAUAGUAAUUGAUCUAAGUGAUAGAAGAACUAGUCGGAUGUCGAAUAGUGAACCGUCAAGGUUGAAGUUGGUGGAGGCUUCUGCAAACACUUUAACGUUCAAGUUAGUAUAANNNNNNNNNNNNNNNNNNNNNNNNNNNNNNNNNNNNNNNNNNNNNNNNNNNNNNAGCGCCGUUUGGAGCCAUUGAUGAGUGGAGUUGUAACAAUCGAUGUUCACCAAUGUCGAGGUGAUUAAUGGUUGUUGGCAGGCGUUACAUUUCGUUUUAGUUUUAAUUGCCUAAGGAUUACUUCAUUGAUCGGAAGGCUUUUCUUACCACAGUCUUUUAUUUGUAGAAGAUGCAUUCCAUUUAAUUGUUCAUGAAUAGCUAAACUUUCUAAAUUUUAUGAACAAAGUUCAAAUUUCAUGCGUACCGGCUGUUAGAUAUAUAUAACACUAAUAACACUGUUAUUAGUAAUUUUUUUUGCUUAAUUACACUUAUUUAGUUUAAAUUAAGUAAAUUUUAGAUUUUUUAAAUUAAUUAGAACUAAAAAUUAACCGUAACUUUGAGUUAGGUUUAGCAUUUACACUAAUGUUUUGUCAAAAAAGAAGAAUGAAUAUAUUUAUCUAAAAUUUGCUUUGAAUUAGACUAGAGUUACUAUUUUAUCUUAAUUUUCGUACAACACUCUUUUUUUUUUUUCUUCUUAAUUUUGCUGGUUUAUAAAGUCAAUUUGAACCAUGUGACUGUGAGGGGUUGGACAUACAAUUAUUUAUUGGGCGUAAAAAGUCUCGUGUUAGACAAUUUGGAAUAAGAGAUAAUAUGUAUUUUAACAGCACUUAUAAUUGUUUAUUACCCAAAAAAAGAACACUCGUUAUCAUUCUGUUUUAUUUAACCUUUUUUCUUAUAUAUGUAUUUGAUAUAGUAAAGAUUAUACUAUAUUAAAAUGAUAAUCAUAGCCUUGAACUUUUUUUUGUCAAAAGAAACAAAAAAUGCAUGGAACAUCAACUACACAUACAACCAAUCGACUAUAAUAAACAUAAACAUAAGAAAUAUAUAUGUUAGCAAAAAUGCCCUUCUCUAAAUGCUUGAGAGAUAAUUAUUGAGGGUUAUUUUUGUACAACAAAAGUUAUACAGUUAUGUUUUAUACUUUUUUGUCAAGAUCGAUUUGUUUCAUCGGGUCAAACUCGUGAGUCGACUUACGAGAUUAGAUGGCCAAAAUUAAUAAGUUAUCUCACUCCAAACUAUUUUUUGGGUAGACUCGAUUAUAUCCGGAUAGACUCAUACAAACUCAGAUUCACGAGUCUAAAUAGAGUUUACGAGUUCAAUGUGACUUUAGAAAAUGAAAGCUAAAAUCAUGUUGGACCACAUUGUUUCACACAAAAAAAAAAACUGAAAUAUUCUGUUAUUUAAUAAAUAUUUUCCAAACACUUAAAUCAAAAAGUCAUUUUCAGAGUUUUAAGUCAGAAAAACAUUAAGAACAAUAAUAAAUUAUCGAUAUAAUGAAAACAGAUUACAUAUAAUCAGUCAGAUCAAGAGUUUAUAAUAUACUACACAUAAUCUUGUAAAAAAUAAAAAAACUAACUACACAUAAUAUUCCUAAUAUUUAUAAAUAUGUAUAUGAUACUAACAUUCACUCUUAUUUACUAAUACUUAUUUUUGUGUCAACUCUUCAUUUCUCAAAGAAAGGAGGUUCUAGUAAUCCAAAAUUCAACCACAAAGGAAGUAAAAUCUGAUAAAAAAAUUAUUUCUCCCUAUUAAUAAAAUCAAAUUUCAUAAAUUAUAAUCAAGAUAACUCUGUUUAAUACAAAUGCGUUCAAAUGAAAAACCCAAAAUUACCGAUAUGCAGACCUUUUUUAAACCUUCAAAGCUGCUUUAUGGACCAUGGUUCCCUUGUGUAUUUGAUGACAGCUCUUCUCAACAAGAUCGAGCAGCUUCUCUAAGUUUGCUGCCCAUGAAUUAAGAAUAUCGUUGCUGUACUUCGAUGUUUGGAAACAAACUAUUCCCAUAGGUCUAUCAAUCAUGGCCACCAGAGCCUUUAUCACAACCAUAUCAGACAGAUGCUUCUCAGCUUCCUGAAUUAUGCAAGAAUAAUUGAUUAGGAAAAUCCCGUUGAAAAACAAAUUAAUUAAGAUUAACAGAACAAAACCAUUACUAGCAUUACACACCUCUAGGCUGAGACACAAAAGCUGGGAAAGUCUCGUCAAAGUAAUUCUUGCGUAGUAUUUUGACACAACAAGAAUAUUCUGAAAGAUUACCAAAAUUACUCCAUGUUAAUACUCACAUAAAUAGCUGUUAAACAUAAAGAAGAAGAAGUGCAAGGGCAUAAGUUAAUCACAUGUUCAAUAAUUCUCUGUUUUAGAUCUUCUGCGGCUUUUUCACUUAAAAACUUUCCAGAUACAAUUUCGUUCUCAAACUCGGUCUUAUAUGUCUCCCAAAGAGCAGUCCAUUGGAUGACUUCCAUGGUGACCAGUUGCUUUAAGAGAAGCCUAGACACAAACAUAUAACAGUUACAUCCAAUGACAAGGAAUCCUAAACAAAAUAUUUGAACAUGACCACCAGAUAGCAUGCGAGAUAAAAAAAUAGAUAACAUACUUGAAGUUUGGAAUCUCAAAUAGAUUCUUAUCCUCUAAGGUUGAAUUCAGAAGACUUGAUUGCAGUGGAUCAUGAGGAGCAAGAACCAAGCACCAAGAUAUUUUCUUCAGGAUCUACAUGUAAAGAUAGUAUUUGGAAAUUAGUCGUAUCAUAAUAUCGUUUAGCAAUAGAAUCAAACAGUAACAGAGAUAGCAAAUAGAGGAAGAGAAUCGAAAGCCUACAGGAAUAAACUCAGCAGGGUUUUCUUUAACAUAUGGAAUCUCAUAUAUCGCUUUAUAGCAACGGCAAAUUUCAAGAUAAUCAUUGUUGUGGGAAUAAUACCUAAAAUCACGGACAGAAAAACAGCAUAAGAAAAAAAAAAAAGAUUUCAGGAUCAGCGGCAAGAAAUAUUAUGAACCUGGUACUUGAAAAAUAUGUAGCAUGAAGAUAAAUCAACUAUAUCAAUUCGACAUAAGGUAUAGAAGCAUAGCACCAAAUUUAGAAAGCUAUGUGGAAUUUACUGCCACAUAUACUGCACUGCGACCAAUUCCCUACACUUCAUUAUUGUCACAACUCACGUGUAACAAAUCAAUUACCAAACACAAAAUAAUUUUGAAACAUGAUUCAAAUGGACUGAAUUAUACGCAUUUGAAAAUUAUUUAAACUAUGGGAAGAAAAAAAAACAUCUUGCAAUGGUGAAAGGCUGCCUACCGUAGACCCAAAACAAUGGUUCAACAACCAGACAGCAUAAACAUAGAUAUAAACGAAAAUCGAUAGGAAUUGCAUUAUUUAAAAUUUACAAUGAAAAUAAAAGAAUUGACUUUCUGAAGAUCAAAUUUACACAAUGUGACAGAUUCACUAUAUUUUUGAACAGUAACAACGGUAAAAGACAACGAAUCCGCAAGUUAGGAAGGAUAACUAUAACCAGCAUGUUUAUCAACUUUAAAAUCCAAACUCAUUUUAUAUAUCUAGUUUACGUCUUUUUAAUAAUCCUCUUUCAUAAAAUUUUAAAUGGCAGAUAAACUUUGCAUUAUGUCAAAAUGUCUAACUUAAAACAGGUCAAUGACAGGCAUCAUGCUUUAUUUCAAAAUGGUUAAGAACUGGGAUGUGGCAAACAAGAAUAGAAAGCAGGGAUGAAAAACAAAAAAUUUGGAUUUGUAAAGGAAAUAAGUGAUUAAAAUUUAGAAAUGUCUUUCGUCAAAAAAAAAAAUUUAGAAAUGUCUGUAAAGGAAUUGGAAAUAUGAUCCAAACCAAAAGGUUCCUGUUGUGGCCAUUUAAAUGUAUAGAAUGUUAGAGUUUGCAAAUGGCAAGAACUAUAAAUGGCCUUCAUAGCAUCUCUGUAACUCUGAAGUCUCAACAAUAUAAGAUUUUUUAUUUAUAAUAUAAAUUUUAGAUGGUUCAUGAAUCAUGACAAUAUGUGAAAGUGAGUGAAUUUGUAUUCUGAGAAUUUAAAAUAACGGAGAGUUCAAUUUGUAAAAUGUGCGAAUUGUAUUUAAAUUAUCAGUUCAGUUUAUGAACGGUACAAAAUGGGGUUCAGUUUUUUAUGGUGGAGUUCAUUUCAACUUUAUGAAUUUUUACCUAAUCAUGAGUUCGUAAUAAAUCCUUUUCAACUCCAGUAGAGACGGAAUAUCAGCAGGAGCCUCUUCAACCAUGUUAUCGCCUUCUUUGGGCUUUUUCUUUUCCUUAGAUGCAUCUAUGUCGAAUACUCUUGGACUUAUCUUUCUUGAGAGUAUUUGUGCACGGACAUAAUCCUGACGGUCUAAGCACAACCGAACCUACAAUUUAACAUGGGAGAUGACCAAAUUAGUAAUUUAUUAGCAACAUAAAAAUUUAUCAGCCUGCUACUUUUAUCAUCACUGAAACAAACAAAAAAUGAGACUCGUACUUGUUCCAGAAUGAAUGCAAUCUUCUCAGUUUUAGCCAUGGCACCAAAAGUUUCCACCUGUUAAGAUUACCCAUUAAAUAAGUGAACCAACCAAUAAUUUCUACUAAUCAGUAUCAUCCAAAAACAAAGAUACACAAAAGCCAUGAAAACAUAACAAGUUCACACUGACCGCAAUUUCUUGCAUCAGAUCAGCAGCCUCAGCAAUAAGCCCCUGUUCUUCCUUAAUCUUGGCAAGUUUCUUGACCAAUCGUGCUCUCUCAAUCUCAACGUAUAUCUAAGAAGAACAUGGUACAACAUACAAAUAGCCAAAACAUAUCUCUUAUAAGAUGGAUAACUCUAUGUGAAAAGAUAAUAAAACACAAUGGAGAAUUCAAACAUAACUAACUAACCUUCCCUGCAGAUACACUGAUCAGUGUUUUGAUAAGUUCAAUACGAGUUUCAAUAUCCGGUGUCUUAUCAAUAUAUUCCAUAGCCUGCUGGACCAUAGCGGUUACAGCCUGCUGGACCAUAGCGGUUACAGCCUGCUGGACCAUAGCGGUUACAGCCUGCAUCCAUAUAUAAUAGGCUCAUCAUUAGUACCAUAAAACAUCACUAAUUAUACAACAACUACAAGGUGUCUAAACUGAACCCUAGCAGUGAAAUUAUACAUAAUCUGGAACAAUAGUGAAUUGAUAUAAGUUCCUUAAAUACCGACGAUAGUGAAAUCGGAAACAUCAAAGACUAAAAAAACAAAAACCCUAAACUCUUUCUAACUUAAGCACACAAUGCCUCGUUGCUUAUCUAAACAAAUUUUCCAUCAAUAAUCUCAUCUAACAUUACUGAUCAAUCUGAAAUUGUAAACAACAAUGAACAAUUUACAUUCUAAAAAACCAAAACCCUAAACCUCAGCGCAUUGCAUCAAAUACCUGCUUAAGCUGACCGCGUCGUUUAGAUAAAACGACAAUCUGAUCGUUUAGAGUUUUCCAAGCUUCGGCUUCAAAGCAGAGUUGCAAAAUGUCAAUUGCAGCUUUUCUGGUGCCGGCGAUUUCACCGGCGAGCCACAUCUGCUUCUCUACGUUCAGCAAUUGCUCUAUCUUUGCAUCUAAAUUCUCUGACGCCUACAAAACAAAUUGAAAAGCGAUUAUAGCAUUAGAAUAACAUCAAAGUGAAAAUCAAAAAAGAAGAAAACAGUAGCGGAAACCGAAAUAGAGGAAUCUGGAUGGAUGAAUACCAUGUUUGAGUGAGGUUUGCGCGAGAUGAGAAUUGAAAUCGAAAAGCUAAGAAAAAGUGUGAGAACUAGGGGUGGCAAAACGGCUCGCUACUUUNNNNNNNNNNNNNNNNNNNNNNNNNNNNNNNNNNNNNNNNNNNNNNNNNNNNNNNNNNAAAUCUCAAUCCAAUUUUCUCUCAUAUAAAAGUUCACUUCACCGUCUGCUCCCUUCUUCCAAAAUUAGGGUUUCAUUCAUUUCAUCCGCCGUUUGCUCCCUUCUUCCACUUCGCCCCCGUGAUACUCAUCCACUCAAAAGAUUGAUUAAUUGCUGCUAGUUUUUUGAUGUUUUGUGUCCCUGAAUUUCAUUAACUAUGUUGUGAUCUUUGGCUUUUUGGUAUUGACAUAGUUGUAAUUUUUUGAGCCAUGUUUUGGUGGAACUGGAUGCAUCACAGGCUGUUUGCUUUUUUCAAAUGGGAAUUAUCACUUGCUAGUAUUUAUCUUUUUAUCUUAUAUUGUAAUGAAUUAUUUAUUAACUUAGUUGAUGUUUCUAUUAGUUUAAUUAAGGGUAAUUGUAAGUGUUAGUUUAAUUAAGGGUAAUUGUAAGAAAUUACUUAUUAACUUAAUUAAUGUUUCUUGUAGUAUUUUUUUUUAACAUUAACUAAGAGGCAAGAAUUGUGAAGUUAUAAUUCAAAUAGUUAAAAAAAAAUAAAAAUAAAGUAUUUGGCGGGCCGGCCCGCCAACUCGCCAAUAAACGGGCGGGCUUGAGUUGUUGAGCCCAGACAACUAAGUUGCCCCGCCCCGCCCCGCUUCGCUUUUGGGCGGGCCUAAACGGACCUAAAUAAGAAAAAUUUAAGUAAAAGAAAAAACAUUGAUAAAACAAUAAAAUUAAGUGCAGCACUUUGAAAUCCAUAUCCACCCACUUGCCCGACCCAACCCACUAUUUUGGGUUGGAUUGGGUGGGUUUGACCGGGUCGACCGGAUUUGCCCAACCCAUGUACACCCCUACUUGAGACAACUUCAAAAGGAUGUUAUAUUCUUUUUCCUUCAUUAGAAUUUUUUUCAUUGAGUUUUUUCUAGUAAAGAUUUUAAUGAGACAUAUCCUUGAUGAACAUUCAAAGGGGAGUGUUAUGAAUAUUUAGUGGAUGUCUAUAUAGGUUCUUGACCCAUGUUAUUGGUCCUUUACAUUUGCCUAUAAAUAGAACAUAUAUAUCACGUAAAACUCAUACUAAAUAAUACAGACUUUGUUAUUCUCCUCUCUUCUCCCUUUCUCUUUAGUCCCUCACCGUUCAUCUAAAACAGUCACUUUAGUCAUCAACGUUCCUCUUCCUUUAUGCUCUAUUUUGUCUUCAAUAUGGUCCCUGUCUACGUGGCAUCAAAUUUUAAAGAGAAGUGACAUGUAUUGGUCAACAAACCGUCCACGUCAACACUAUCAAACGGUUCUUUGUUAAAAAUUAACGUCAUGAGCUAUUCUAACUAACGGAAGUUACAUUCAGGAAUUUUAAAAUGUUUGUUGAUGAUUCAUGGACUACAAUAACAGCGAGUGUCACUUUCAAGGACCAAAGUUUACUCUAUAUAUUUGAUAUAGUAAAGAUUAUAUUAUUUUAAAAUGAUAAUCAUAUCCUUGAACUUUUUUCUGUCAAAAGAAAGAAAAAAUGCAUGGAACAUCAACUAUACAUACAAUUCGUCAAAAAAAUCAACUAUACAUACAAAUUAACUAUAAUAAAUAUGGGUAAUGCUAAUGCACACCCACUCAAAAAUUAGAAGGUGUGAAAUUGUGCAUUAGCAAGCUACACCUUUCUACUUUUAACAAAAAAAAAACAAUUUUCUAUUUAUUCAAAAGUAAUUAAAUCUAUGUUUUUUUUUUUUCAUUUUGCAACUCAACACAACUUUUUUAUUUCUCCUUGUCUCUAUCCACCGCUCAUGUGUUAAAACAUUCAGAUGUCUUCGAGAAAAAGAGCUAUCAGUGAACCAUUUUCUCAUUUCCAUUAAAAUUCUACCUCAAUCCAUUAAUUUGAAACCAUUUUGUCAUGCCUUUAAUAUUUGUGUGUUCCAUAUAUACUUCCAUUAUGUCUUAAUUUAAUUUGUAUGCAUUUUUUUGGUCUGGAGAUCAUGUUGCCACAUUCAAAAUUUUUGCCUUUAAUGAAAUACAAUCAGUUUCUUUCAGCAACAAAGAUGAUGGGUUGAAACUAGGAGAAAUAAAAAAGUUGUGUUGAGUUGCAAAAUGACCAAAAAAGACAUAGAUUUAAUUACUUUUGAAUAAAUAGAAAAUGGUUUUUGUGACAAAAGUAGAAAGAUGUAGCUCGCUAAUACACACAUUCUAAAUUUUGAGUGGGUGUGCAUUAGCAUUAUCCAAUAAAUAUAAGAAAAAUAUAUGUUAGCAAAAAUGCCCUAUAAUAAACCAAUAAAUAUUCAUUUUUCAUGAUUAUGUAAUGAAUGUGUAUCUACUAUCUAACAUCUUCCUUUUCAUGAAUGUGUAUCUAUUAUUUUUUAUUCAUGUACCAUCUAUAAAUACAAUUAUACAAUCAUAUUCUAUCCCAAACAUAUCAUAUUAUAAACCAAAGUAUAAUUUGAAAAAGAAAUCUAUGUGGUAACAAAUGAGAGUUUACAUCUGCCACCUAUUGUGUACCACCAUUUGUACCAUAAACAAUAGAUCCUGCAAAAGCAAACCUUAGACAUCAAAAUUCUAUUCCAACCAAAUUGGUCUAAACAAUUAAUAUCUAUCAAAACUUUUGAAACACCGACGCAAAUAAUGGAAACGACAUUUACAAUCACAUGUCGAUCACAUUAAUAAUUUAAAAAAAUUAAUUAAUCGAAUAUAAUCUCAUGUGUCAGUAUCGAACACCAAACACAUAAAUCAUCAUCAGAAGUAUCGGUGCCACAAAACUCAAAAUCCAAAACAAAAACAAUUAACAACUCACCAAGUGUUGGCAUGAGAAGAGACAGAACCAAAAUUCCAGCAACCUUAAGUGGCACACCAACUUUAAGCAUGUCUUUAAUUUCAAUAUGUCCAGUAGCAAAUCCAACAACAUUUGAAGGUGUUGAAGUUGGAAGCCAAAAUGCAAAUUCAGUAGCUAUACCACCAGGGAUCAUAAGAAGAAGUGGAUGCACAUUAAUAGUUUUGGCUAUGUUAUACAAAAGUGGUACAAGAAGUGUGGCUGUGGCAUCAUUGGAAGUAAUGAAUUCAGUGAUUAUGCUACAUAGUAAAGUAACAGCAGGAACAAUUGCUAAGUAUGGAACAUCUUUUAAGAAUUCUAAUNNNNNNNNNNNNNNNNNNNNNNNNNNNNNNNNNNNNNNNNNNNNNNNNNCCAGCUCCUAGUAGCAAAAUUAGGUUCCAUGGUAACUUUUUGCAUUCAUUCCAACUCAUCAGCUUUUCACCAUCUUGCUUCAUGUUUGGGAUUAUGAACAAUAAUACGGCUGCCAAAACCUACAUUAAUUGCAUAACAUUUUUAUAUUGUAGACUACAAUUCUUGGUGUAAAUGAGUCAUUUUAGAUUAAAUUAAAAGAGAUUUUAUUUUUUGAAGAGAAAAGAAAAUAAUAGUUUUUUUAAGGAAAAGUGGUAUGAUUACUGAUAAUCCAAAGUUCGAUCGUAAGGUAAGUAAAAUAUAGUCAAGAAUUAUUCCUACCAAGAAUCGAAUUUGGAUUCUCCCGAACGAUUGAUUCGUCCUAAGAGGAGGAGGAUUUCUCUUUCCACCCUCCAAAUUUAUUUUUUCGUGCAGAAAACUUCA